AGUGAACGCUGGCGGUAGGCCUAACACAUGCAAGUCGAACCGCAGCACAGUAAGAGCUUGCUCUUACGGGUGGCGAGUGGCGGACGGGUGAGGAAUACAUCGGAAUCUACUUUUUCGUGGGGGAUAACGUAGGGAAACUUACGCUAAUACCGCAUACGACCUACGGGUGAAAGCAGGGGAUCUUCGGACCUUGCGCGAUUGAAUGAGCCGAUGUCGGAUUAGCUAGUUGGCGGGGUAAAGGCCCACCAAGGCGACGAUCCGUAGCUGGUCUGAGAGGAUGAUCAGCCACACUGGAACUGAGACACGGUCCAGACUCCUACGGGAGGCAGCAGUGGGGAAUAUUGGACAAUGGGCGCAAGCCUGAUCCAGCCAUACCGAGUGGGUGAAGAAGGCCUUCGGGUUGUAAAGCCCUUUUGUUGGGAAAGAAAAGCAGCAGGUUAAUACCCCGCUGUUCUGACGGUACCCAAAGAAUAAGCACCGGCUAACUUCGUG
This 492-nucleotide ribosomal RNA is filed under the name uncultured bacterium. Its description in RNAcentral is "partial 16S ribosomal RNA". It matches the Rfam family "Bacterial small subunit ribosomal RNA", at positions 29 to 507 of the family's 1533-position model. The record is from RNAcentral.